UACAGAGGUCUCGAGCGUUGUUCGGAUUCAUUGGGCGUAAAGGGUGCGUAGGUGGUAUGGUAAGUCGGAUGUGAAAUCUCUGGGCUCAACUCAGAGUCUGCUGCAGAAACUGCCGUGCUUGAGUGUGGGAGAGGUGAGUGGAAUUCCCGGUGUAGCGGUGAAAUGCGUAGAUAUCAGGAAGAACACCGACGGCGAAGGCAGCUCGCUGGGACGGUACUGACGCUGAGGCGCGAAAGCGUGGGGAGCGAACAGG
Molecule: ribosomal RNA, 253 nt
Filed under: uncultured bacterium
Lineage: Bacteria
Description: partial 16S ribosomal RNA
Rfam family: Bacterial small subunit ribosomal RNA
Source: RNAcentral